UACGAAGGGUGCAAGCGUUACUCGGAAUUACUGGGCGUAAAGCGUGCGUAGGCGGUUUGUUAAGUCAGUGGUGAAAGCCUCCAGCUUAACUGGAGAACAGCCAUUGAUACUGAAGAGCUUGAGUACAGACGAGGUAGGCGGAAUUUAUGGUGUAGCGGUGAAAUGCAUAGAUACCAUAAAGAACUCCUAUUGCGAAGGCAGCUUACUAGGCUGUAACUGACGCUGAGGCACGAAAGCGUGGGGAUCAAACAGG
RNAcentral lists this ribosomal RNA (253 nucleotides) under uncultured bacterium. Its description in RNAcentral is "partial 16S ribosomal RNA". It matches the Rfam family "Bacterial small subunit ribosomal RNA", at positions 524 to 776 of the family's 1533-position model. The record is from RNAcentral.